Herpailurus yagouaroundi (jaguarundi) is the source of this 748-nucleotide long non-coding RNA. RefSeq lists it as uncharacterized. NCBI's taxonomy places the organism in Eukaryota, Metazoa, Chordata, Mammalia, Carnivora, Felidae. The transcript is spliced from 2 exons. The record is from RefSeq and is a predicted model, not a curated record.
CGAGGCGGGCAAAGUCGCGCCGCAGGGUGAAUUCUUCCAGGAGGGGCAGCGAACGCUGGGCGACCGCCGCCUGAGUGCCUUCCCCGACGUGACAGCACCGGCGACGCUCGUCGACUCUAUCGGCCUCCACCCUAAACGAUGGUCGAAAUUAAAUCUACGACACCUGCCGGUCCCUGGUCUAUUUCAGGGUCGAGCCGGGCUGCAGAGUGGCGGAGGCACGUGGGACGGCCCCUUGACAACUGACGCCUCUGCAGAAGUGAAGCCGGGGGUUCGGGUGUGAGAAGAGGCCCACCUAGGAAAGCGAGCAAGAGGGGAGGGCUGGCUACCGCCGCUUCCCGCCAGCGCCUCGAAAUACGAAACACACAGCCUCAAUGUUAUGCAGGAACUGAACGCCGCCCGAUUCGUUAAAUCGGUGAGCGCACAGGUCAUCGAGGGCGGUGGCGAGCUAGAAGGAGGAUUCCUGUGACUUGUGCAGAGGAACAAGAGCCCGAGUGGACCUUUUGGUUCCGGGGCAACCCACAGGCACAUUCUUCUGAAACCGCUUUAUUUGAAGUCGUUCCAGAGCUUUAUCUCCCCUGAAUGUUUGGGCUUGGAGUAAAACUGUUCACUUGAGCAUUGCCUGUUGGGUUUGAUCAGUCCUAAGAGCCUUCUGGAAAGGCCCAGAAAGCCAGAAGGUGAAGCCAGGAGUGAGUGGUACGUGCGUCCUAUAGAUCGCUUCUAAUCCGCCUUCCUCCCUUCGCAGGGGGGG